AGUCUCAUGCUAAGAUUCACCUGCAUCGUAAUGGUGUGUUAAUGUUACGCGCGGUGCUGGCACUUUUUGACCGUGAAGGCAUGUUGAAAAGUUUGUCAGAUAAAUUUUUUUUAUUACAUGGGCUAAGCCUGGUUCACGAAAAAAGAAUAAAACAAAAAUAUUUAGAUUGUCCAAAAGAGAAAAAGAAUUACAGUUAUUUUUUAUAUGAAAAGAGUCCGGCUUAAGUAAUAAAAAAAAAGACUUUUAAGAAUAAUUUAAAAAAAGACCAAAAUACUAUUAUAUGAGUAAUUUCUAUUGUUUGAUUGUAUUAUAAUUUAAAAAUUUGAAUUUUAUUUUUUGAUAGUAAAAUAUCAUUAGUUUAUUUUAGGAUACUAAUAUACUCUUUAAUUUUGACAAAAAAAACCUUUCGUAAUGAAUUUCAAGAACAGCGGAAAACUAAGGUCGAUUAAUUGCAAGGUUUUAGAAAUUGAAUCAGUCAUCCAAUCAUUCUAAUUAUUGGUUCAUUAGUUCAUUAGUCCAAUGAAUCCAACCGUAGUCCAAUCGAAAAACUGUUUUAUAAUAAAAAAUAAAUAAAUAAACACCUUAAAACAUAAUUAGUUCUUUAUGCACUAACUUUCUUCUUUUUUCUUUUAGUUCCUUAUUUCUUUUUUUAAUCCAAACAAAGAUUCAACAACAAAAAUUCAACAAUAAUAAAAAUUCUAUUAUUCAUUUUAUUAAGCUCAAAACAAGAUCUAGCUUAACAAAAUUCAAUAAAUAAAUUCAGUUUAAUGUAGCAGAGAAGACUCAAUCAUAUAAAUAAAAGCUCAUGCUUUUAUAUUGAACAAAUAAAAGCUCAUGGUUUAGCAUAAUUUUAACAAAAAUUAGCGAUAUUUUAAUUUUUAACCGACAGCAGACUGAUCACACUUAAGAAACUACACUAGCAAUGCCACAUCACAUCACACCACACACACACAAUUUAUAUAUGAUUCCAACCAAAUUUGGAAAACCAGAUCUCUUAGCAGCAAUAGAUAGAGGUCCUUGUAAAAUAGCACCAUUAGUAGUGAUAUUAUGUUUUCAAAGACAUAAUACCAUAAGCAUGAAGCAAAUUCUUAUGGAAAUAAUCAAAUUUUAAAAGGUUGAAUAAUAGACUAGAAUCAACUUUGCCAAGAUAUGCAGGAUCUCACUUGGAACAUAUCUCUGUCCCAUUACAUUGACAAGCUGCGAGAGUCUCAUUCUAAUCCCUUCACAAUCACAUAUCUCAAAAGAAUUUUUGUUCAGCAUCCACAAGAAAAACCAGAUAUUGAUACACGUCCUUUUUCCAUUCAGAGUGCACAUAGGAAAGAUGAAUUACUUUCACUUUAAAUCGGUUAAAAUUAAAUUCACCAAAUACUGACUGCCGAAUGCUUUUUCUAUCAAGGCAUAGUUCAAGUGUCCGUAGAAGGUAUUCCCUAGAAGGCAUUAGAUUCUACAGCCUUCAUAAUAGUAUCUGGAACUGUUGAAUUCCAAACCCAGCAGAUAGCAUGUUUUCAACUUCAGGACAUAAAUCCAAUUACAUAGCCAAAGCUAAAGAACAAAUAUGGAAGUAAAAUUUAACAAAAUUUUAUACUUUGGCAGGAGUCCGAUUUGAAUAAACAAACCAUUUUCUCAUUUGAUGAAUUUAUAUUUUUUCAUAUGAUUCGGAGAGGAACGAAGUUAAUCAUUCAAGAAGUUAAUCAUUCAACAAUUCAAUCUGAGUAGCGCUAGCAGUAGCAAAAUCCUAAACCGAAGAACAAAGAAUCAAUAAUGAAAAAUUCAAANNNNNNNNNNNNNNNNNNNNNNNNNNNNNNNNNNNNNNNNNNNNNNNNNNNNNNNNNNNAUCAAAAAAAAAAAAUUAAAAAAAAAAAAAAAAAAAGCAAUCUAAGUAGCACUAGCAAAAUCCUAAACCUUUGUUCUCGCAUCUGAACAGACCAUUACAAAUACGAAGAACAAGCCCUAACAGUGAGCACUGACCUUCGAUCUGAGCAGCAGACAAUGACGGCGAUCAGUUGAGCGCGACGGCAACCAGACGACUGCAAGCAGACGAAGACCAGACGACGACCACUGUUAUCCUUCUUCUUCACUUCACCACUGACGACUCACGAGAGCACUCUGCCAGUUCGAACGAGAAGCAAGGGGGCAGAACUUCAAUCCGCAAAGAAAAAGGGAUUCAAUGGCUUUAUUGACGGAAGAUGCCGACCAGACGACGGCGAGAAGAUGAUGAGUUGACGACGACACCGAGAAAUUGAAUACGAGGGUUGGACCGAGCUCGCGGAAGAAGAGAGAAAUGGUUAUACGGACN
RNAcentral lists this long non-coding RNA (2296 nucleotides) under Arachis ipaensis. RNAcentral's name for it is "long non-coding RNA (AIPA_LNC002035)". Lineage: Eukaryota; Viridiplantae; Streptophyta; Magnoliopsida; Fabales; Fabaceae. The record is from RNAcentral.